RNAcentral lists this microRNA precursor (87 nucleotides) under Cucumis sativus (cucumber). Its description in RNAcentral is "miR11332 stem-loop (cst-MIR11332)". Lineage: Eukaryota; Viridiplantae; Streptophyta; Magnoliopsida; Cucurbitales; Cucurbitaceae. The record is from miRBase by way of RNAcentral.
GUUCGACGAAUGAAAGAGAGCUCGUACCCGCAACUUUUCCUUGAUUCUGCACUCUUGUGGGUAAUAGGCUUUCCUUCCUUGUCGUAG